GUGAAUGUGGCUUAGUGGCAGAGUGCUUGCCUAGCAUGCAUGAAGCCCUGAGUUCAAUUCCUCAGUACCACA
Molecule: non-coding RNA, 72 nt
Organism: Dipodomys ordii (Ord's kangaroo rat)
Lineage: Eukaryota; Metazoa; Chordata; Mammalia; Rodentia; Heteromyidae
Source: Rfam